Molecule: small nucleolar RNA, 107 nt
Filed under: Cephalotus follicularis
Lineage: Eukaryota; Viridiplantae; Streptophyta; Magnoliopsida; Oxalidales; Cephalotaceae
Description: Plant small nucleolar RNA R71
Rfam family: Plant small nucleolar RNA R71
About the family: R71 is a member of the C/D box family of snoRNAs containing the C (UGAUGA) and D (CUGA) box motifs. Multiple nearly identical copies of this snoRNA have been identified in Arabidopsis, and it is thought to function as a 2'-O-ribose methylation guide for 18S ribosomal RNA.
Source: Rfam by way of RNAcentral
AAACCAUGAUGAGGACACUCUAAGAGAAGAUCCUUAAAACGUUCCAUACACCUAUGAAAUGAUUCACUGGGAUUUUGAUGGAACUGAAGAAUGUCGUUCCUAAGUUU